This 57-nucleotide transfer RNA is filed under the name Loxodonta africana (African savanna elephant). It matches the Rfam family "tRNA", at positions 8 to 63 of the family's 71-position model. Rfam says of the family: Transfer RNA (tRNA) molecules are approximately 80 nucleotides in length. Their secondary structure includes four short double-helical elements and three loops (D, anti-codon, and T loops). The record is from Rfam by way of RNAcentral. Lineage: Eukaryota; Metazoa; Chordata; Mammalia; Proboscidea; Elephantidae.
UGGCACAGUGGUUAAGUGCUCAGCUGCUAACUGAAAGGUUGGUGGUUCAAAUCCACC